CACUCCAUAGUCAUACACGUGCCCCCGAAUACAUAAUUUCUUAAUGUUUUGAAACCUUGAAAGGAUCUUCUUAGUGCAACAAUAAGGAAUCAAGCCCGAAACAGACUGUAUGUUUGGCCAAAACAAGUUCCUCUCUCCAUCAAUGGAUGAACUUGGAGGAUCUGGCAAAUAAAAAUUCCUGAGUUUCAGGUGCCUUAAUUGUGUUGUUUCCCAAAUUAGUUCCGGGAACUUAAUAAAUGAGAUAACUGGCCCUCGAACGAUGAAUGUUUGUAGAUUCAGUAAUCUGCAAAGUCCUCCAGGUAUGCCAAAAGAAUUACGAGUCGAAAAGGAUAGGUACCUCAACAAAAAGAGACUAAGUAUCUGCAGGGGAAAGCUUGAGAAGAACAUUGAACUCAAGUCCAAGACUCUGAUUAAAUUCAAAUGACCAAGCUCUAAAUUGGAAUUGUUACUGAAAGAAGGUGCAGCAAACAGGAAAAUUGAUCGAAUUCUUCUCAAGGGACUCUUAUCAUCAUCGGUAGGCGUCCUAAUCAACCAGCAAAGUUUAUGUGUAAGGGACCUAAACCAAUGCUCAUCCUGAAACUCAACAUCAGUUUGUUGACUUUUCUGUAUGCUAAUCCAUUGACAUCCCACACGAGGAACGGAUCCUGUUUUAUCAUUUCUGAUAAACAAAAAGUUUUGGCUUUGUGCUUCUCUCAAGCAUAACUCAUGGACCAGAUCAUGAAUCCUACAUGUCUUGAUUUUUCUUCCAUCUGCACUUCUUUUGCUAACUAAAACUAGACAUCUAUCCACGAGAUCCUGCAAACGGUUUUUAGCCUCUUCUUCCAAGUCACCCUCCAGCUUCAAGAACCCCUCAGCAAUCCAUAAUCUCACCAAUCUCUUCACUGAAAUUUCACUGUCUUCUGGAAAUAUUCCAAAAUACAGAAGGCAUGCUUUUAAGUCAUUAGGCAAGUAGUUGUAACUCAAUCCGAGCACACGUAGACAUUGUUCAUCAGGAUCUUUCGUUACAAACGACUUAAUAUUCUCAGCAACAUUCUCCCAUUCUUCUUUUGUUCUCUUUGAUUUGGAGAGAAGACCAGCAACCACGACAAUCGUUAGUGGUAACCCUUGACAUUUGCUUGCAAUUUUCUCACCUAUGGUCUGUAGUUCAGGCGGGAAGCUUUCAUUUGCAAACGCCUUGCUCUUAAAAAGGUUCCAACUCUCAUCUGAAUUCAUGAGAUUCAUCUUUAAAAGAAGAUUACUUGAGCUAGCAUUAAUAGCUACCUCAGUAUGACGGGUAGUCAACAAUAUUCGACUUCCAUUAUUAUCAAUUGGAAAACAUUGUUUUGUGUCAUCCCAUGCUUUAUUGCUCCAUAUGUCAUCUAUGACAAUAAGAUACCUCCUACAUUUCAAUUUUUUCUGUAGUAGGUCUGCUAGCUCAUCCUCAUCUCUGCUGUAGACUUUGUCAUCGAUAUUGAUUAUUGACUGUAGAAGACUUAGCAGGAUUUCUUUCACAUUGUAUUCUUUAGAUAUAGUAGCCCAAGCACGAACAUCAAAACGAGACUUAAUCGAAGGAUGGUUGAAGACUUGUUUUGCUAAAGUUGUCUUACCAAUGCCACCCAUCCCAACAAUUGGGAUGACUUUUAGUUCAUCUUUAGAGCCUCCUCUGAGUUCUUCAAGCAUCCUUUUCUUUUCCUUGUCACGUCCCACCAUAUUGUUCGAAACAUCCAGAUUAGGUAAUAUUUCUGAGCUACUUGUAUCUCGUAACAAGGACAACGUUGAUGCUUGGCUACCUUUAUGUUGUUGAAUCUUUUGCGACUCUUCUUGAACACGGUCAAUGUCCUUUGCUACUCGUUGCAAGCUCUCACGAAGUUUCUCAUGUGCUUUCCUUUUCCUACCUGAAUGAUGGGGAUGUUUCAGAUAGGAAAAUGGAACAACUGAUAGUUCAGGGAGGAAACUCACAUAUCUGAUAGUUCAUAUAUGAAACUCGAAAAAUGGGGAUACUUUAGGUGCGUUUUUGACCAUCAACUCUUUAAUAUAUAACUUCAAAAAAAAUUUAAGUUUCAAAGGCAAUUAUUGUACUAACCUGGAUCGUUGUAGGAACGAACAUCCACAGCUUUGCUUCCUAGGGAUUCUUGCUCCUCUUGAAUUCGUCCAGCAGAAGCCACGAGUUUUGCACUACAGUUCUGUAACUCGAUUAGUUGUAGCGAGUAAAUAUCUGCAAACUCAAUAGGGAUCUCCUCCAAAUGAAAGCAAUGUCUGAUCACUAGAUGCUCAAGAGCAGGGAAAUGAUCAUUUGUGGCUUUCCAACAUUUCAGAUUUGUACCUUCAAUUAGCAAAAACUUCAACUGUGGAAAUCUUCCUUCAAUUGGACGCCAUUCUAGGCCAUGACAAGCAUUUGGUUUCAGCUUCAACACCUCAAGGUUAGGCCAUUGCCCUAUGAUGUUCAACUCCUCCCAUGAUAGACAAGUUCCGACCAGUUUUAACUUCUUCAACUUUAUUGGAAAAUGUAAAACAGGCGAUUUAUGGAAUCUUGAACUCCCGUGACUUACCUGAUAACGAUCAACUUUAACACUCAAUGUUUCUAGCUGAUGCAGAUCAACAAGAUGACGGAGGUCCAUAACUUCUUCGUGCACUCCAUAGUCAUACACGUGCCCCCGAAUACAUAAUUUCUUAAUGUUUUGAAACCUUGAAAGGAUCUUCUUAGUGCAACAAUAAGGAAUCAAGCCCGAAACAGACUGUAUGUUUGGCCAAAACAAGUUCCUCUCUCCAUCAAUGGAUGAACUUGGAGGAUCUGGCAAAUAAAAAUUCCUGAGUUUCAGGUGCCUUAAUUGUGUUGUUUCCCAAAUUAGUUCCGGGAACUUAAUAAAUGAGAUAACUGGCCCUCGAACGAUGAAUGUUUGUAGAUUCAGUAAUCUGCAAAGUCCUCCAGGUAUGCCAAAAGAAUUACGAGUCGAAAAGGAUAGGUACCUCAACAAAAAGAGACUAAGUAUCUGCAGGGGAAAGCUUGAGAAGAACAUUGAACUCAAGUCCAAGACUCUGAUUAAAUUCAAAUGACCAAGCUCUAAAUUGGAAUUGU
This 3055-nucleotide long non-coding RNA is filed under the name Solanum tuberosum (potato). Its description in RNAcentral is "long non-coding RNA (STUB_LNC011136)". The record is from RNAcentral. Lineage: Eukaryota; Viridiplantae; Streptophyta; Magnoliopsida; Solanales; Solanaceae.